Molecule: ribosomal RNA, 372 nt
Filed under: uncultured bacterium
Lineage: Bacteria
Description: bacterial SSU rRNA
Rfam family: Bacterial small subunit ribosomal RNA
Source: RNAcentral
GACGAACGCUGACGGUGUGCUUUAGACAUGCAAGUCGAACGAGAAAGCCCUUCGGGUUAGUAAAGUGGCGAACGGGUGAGUAACACGUGGGCAAUCUGCCCCUCGCAGGGGGACAACCGGAGGAAACUCCGGCUAAUACCCCGUAAGUUCAAAGGGAGGCAUCUCUCUUCGAAGAAAGGUAGCUUCGGCCAUCCGGCGAGGGAUGAGCCCGCGGUGCAUUAGCUAGUUGGUGGGGUAACGCCUACCAAGGCGACGAUGCAUAGCUGGUCUGAGAGGAUGAUCAGCCACACUGGGACUGAGACACGGCCCAGACUCCUACGGGAGGCAGCAGUCGGGAAUCUUGCGCAAUGGGCGAAAGCCUGACGCAGCAAC